GAUGAACGCUGGCGGCGUGCCUAAUACAUGCAAGUCGAGCGAACGGACGAGGAGCUUGCUUCUCUGAUGUUAGCGGCGGACGGGUGAGUAACACGUGGAUAACCUACCUAUCAGACUGGGAUAACUUCGGGACACCGGAGCUAAUACCGGAUAAUCUUUUGAACCGCAUGGUUCAAAAGUGAAAGACGGUCUUGCUGUCACUUAUAGAUGGAUCCGCGCUGCAUGAGCUAGUUGGUAAGGUAACGGCUUACCAAGGCAACGAUGCAUAGCCGACCUGAGAGGGUGAUCGGCCACACUGGAGGUGGGACGGGGUCCAGAGUCCUACGGGAGGCAGCAGUAGGGAAUCUGACGCAGUGGGCGAAAGCCUGACGGAGCAGCGCCGCGUGAGUGAUGAAGGUCCUCGGAUCGUAAAACUCUGUUAUUAGGGAAGAACAUAUGUCGAAGUAACUGUGCACAGCGUGACGGUACCUAAUCAGAAAGCCACGGCUAACUACGUG
Molecule: ribosomal RNA, 497 nt
Filed under: uncultured bacterium
Lineage: Bacteria
Description: partial 16S ribosomal RNA
Rfam family: Bacterial small subunit ribosomal RNA
Source: RNAcentral